RNAcentral lists this ribosomal RNA (420 nucleotides) under uncultured Rhodococcus sp. RNAcentral's name for it is "bacterial SSU rRNA". It matches the Rfam family "Bacterial small subunit ribosomal RNA", at positions 358 to 790 of the family's 1533-position model. Lineage: Bacteria; Bacillati; Actinomycetota; Actinomycetes; Mycobacteriales; Nocardiaceae. The record is from RNAcentral.
GGAAUAUUGCACAAUGGGCGGAAGCCUGAUGCAGCGACGCCGCGUGAGGGAUGAAGGCCUUCGGGUUGUAAACCUCUUUCAGCAGGGACGAAGCGUGAGUGACGGUACCUGCAGAAGAAGCACCGGCUAACUACGUGCCAGCAGCCGCGGUAAUACGUAGGGUGCGAGCGUUGUCCGGAAUUACUGGGCGUAAAGAGUUCGUAGGCGGUUUGUCGCGUCGUUUGUGAAAACCCGGGGCUCAACUUCGGGCUUGCAGGCGAUACGGGCAGACUUGAGUGUUUCAGGGGAGACUGGAAUUCCUGGUGUAGCGGUGAAAUGCGCAGAUAUCAGGAGGAACACCGGUGGCGAAGGCGGGUCUCUGGGAAACAACUGACGCUGAGGAACGAAAGCGUGGGUAGCAAACAGGAUUAGAUACCCGUG